Long non-coding RNA from Cyanistes caeruleus (blue tit), 383 nucleotides. RefSeq lists it as uncharacterized. NCBI's taxonomy places the organism in Eukaryota, Metazoa, Chordata, Aves, Passeriformes, Paridae. The record is from RefSeq and is a predicted model, not a curated record.
AUCUCACAAUGUUUAGUAUUGUUCUCUUCACAUGCUUCUGAGAGACACAUCUCCACCAUCACCUCCUCCUCUCAUUCAUCCCCCAUGGGAUGACCUGGGAUGAGGUGGUUGGGUAUCAAUUCCAGUUCUGUGCACUGUGGUGUUUUCCCUAGAACAACACUCAUCUCACCAACUUUAUCUACCCCAGCUUAAGACAUGAAAUUUAAGAUCCCACCAUUGAUGGAAGGAGAGGCCUUUGUGUAGAGCCUGUUCUUGGUGCUCAGUAAUAGCAGAGGAUCCCACCAAUGCAACUGAGAAAUCACAGCAGUACAAGACGUGGCAGGCUGACACAGUAUGUUGCACCGGACAAACAGGUCUCCAAAAUACUUUUCAAAAUUAAAUAA